RNAcentral lists this ribosomal RNA (467 nucleotides) under uncultured bacterium. Its description in RNAcentral is "partial 16S ribosomal RNA". It matches the Rfam family "Bacterial small subunit ribosomal RNA", at positions 28 to 507 of the family's 1533-position model. The record is from RNAcentral.
GACGAACGCUGGCGGCGUGCUUAACACAUGCAAGUCGAACGGAAAGGCCCUGCUUUUGUGGGGUGCUCGAGUGGCGAACGGGUGAGUAACACGUGAGUAACCUGCCCUUGACUUUGGGAUAACUUCAGGAAACUGGGGCUAAUACCGGAUAGGAGCUCCUGCUGCAUGGUGGGGGUUGGAACGUUUCGGCGGUUGGGAUGGACUCGCGGCUUAUUCGCCUGUUGGUGGGGUAGUGGCUUACCAAGGCCUUGACGGGUAGCCGGCCUGAGAGGGUGACCGGCCACAUUGGGACUGAGAUACGGCCCAGACUCCUACGGGAGGCAGCAGUGGGGAAUAUUGCACAAUGGGCGGAAGCCUGAUGCAGCAACGCCGCGUGCGGGAUGACGGCCUUCGGGUUGUAAACCGCUUUCGCCUGUGACGAAGCGUGAGUGACGGUAAUGGGUAAAGAAGCACCGGCUAACUACGUG